UACUAGAGUAGCACUCGCAUAUCAAUAAGCGGAGGAAAAGAAACUAACAAGGAUUCCCCUAGUAACGGCGAGUGAAGCGGGAAGAGCUCAAAUUUGAAAUCUUAAAGGGUUUCCCUUUACGAAUUGUAGUUUAAAGAAGUGUUUUCUGUUGAGGUUUUGGUAAAAGUUCUUUGGAAUAGGACAUCAUAGAGGGUGAGAAUCCCGUAUUUGACCUUUACUUUCAACUUUGUGAUACACUUUCAAAGAGUCGGAUUGUUUGGGAAUGCCGUCCAAAAUGGGUGGUAAAUUUCAUCUAAAGCUAAAUAUUGGCGAGAGACCGAUAGCGAACAAGUACCGUGAGGGAAAGAUGAAAAGAACUUUGAAAAGAGAGUUAAACAGUACGUGAAAUUGUCAAAAGGGAAGCGUUUGACACCAGUGUUGUUUUUCUGAAAAUCAAUUAAAGAACUGUUUAUGCUAAGUUGUUUAGACUUUAUCAGCUAACUGUUUAGUUUUGAGCUUUUCUUUAAUGCACUUUUCAGUUAACAAGUCAACAUCAAUUUCUUUUGCUGUAAAAAAGCUUGAGGAAGGUGGCUUGAGAUUCGUCUUAAGUGUUUAUAGCCUCUUGCCUAUGCAGUCGGAGAGAUUGAGGUCUGCAGCGUAGAUCCUUCGGGGCUAAAUGCAUUUGUGCUAAGUUAUAGCAUUUUAUAGACAACUUGUUGACUAUGAUUUGUCUUGUAGCUUACUCGCUUAUGUUAUUUUACCUACGCUUAGGAUGUUGAACUACUGAGACAUAGA
This 774-nucleotide ribosomal RNA is filed under the name uncultured Neocallimastigales. Its description in RNAcentral is "partial large subunit ribosomal RNA". It matches the Rfam family "Eukaryotic large subunit ribosomal RNA", at positions 20 to 644 of the family's 3401-position model. Lineage: Eukaryota; Fungi; Neocallimastigomycota; Neocallimastigomycetes; Neocallimastigales. The record is from RNAcentral.